Long non-coding RNA from Capsicum annuum, 1330 nucleotides. RefSeq lists it as uncharacterized. Lineage: Eukaryota; Viridiplantae; Streptophyta; Magnoliopsida; Solanales; Solanaceae. The transcript has 3 exons. The record is from RefSeq and is a predicted model, not a curated record.
UGUACUCUUGGGGCUGCAGAUAAUUGGUUAGUAAUAUUCUGUUGGAAUGUAACUAUCAGCUGUAUGAUAAAAGAUUUCAGAAUACUCCACAGUUCCAAUCGGCUCUACAUCUUCAGAUUUUUGUUUUCAUUCACAGACCGAUUCUCCAUCUUCAGAUUUGUAUUUUAAUUUUCCUUCAUUGUCUUUUGGUUUUUCAAUUUGUUGUACUGAUGGUUGCAAUUUCAAGUUAUUUUCUCUCUCAUGUUGCCAUAAUUUUCUUUAGAGUUUUCAAUUUCAUAAACAGAUGAUUCCUACUGUCAUUCUUAAUCUAUUUAUUUUUGCCAUAUUUCAAUCAUUCUUCACAAUCUUGAUUUUUAUCAUCUCAUCUGGGUCUUUCAAUAUCAGGUAUGUUUUCUAGCAAAUUUCUUCUACUCUCAAAAAUUUUGUCAUAAUUUUUCUCAACGUUUCCAGAAGACUCCAUUCCUUAUCUCUUUGUUCCUUUCUCCCAUUUUCCUUUCACAAUCAUACAACUUCUUAUUCUUCUUCCUCAAGCUCUCAAACACUAACUCUAAUCUUCGAUCCAAACAACAACAAGAACACUAACUUCUCAAAUAUGAUGCUGCUUGUACUGCUCACUUUGCACAAUAUCUAUCUAGAAUCAUUGAUUUGCCUCUCUAUCAUAUUCUUUAGUGUCACAACGCGUUAAACUUCAGGUAUGGGAUACCAUGAUAAUUGAAUCUGUAUUAAAGACAUACUACGAAUCUGACUCAUAUUAUUGACAUGAGCUCUUCUGAGAAACAUCACUGGAUACUACUAUCUCUUAUUAGAUGUUGAUUGCAUAUGGAGGAACCAUCUCGAAAGGGAAUGGUUAGCUUCUGCCGUUUCUUCUAUUCGUCCCACAUUUUGAAGAGGAAUUUAUAUACAAGUUAAUGACUAAUGUAUAUGAAUUCAUUUACAUUUUUCUGGUGUGGAUGUCAAAUCAUGAGUGUUAAACGACAGUUACUUAAAAUAUUUAUCAUGUAGUUUAACAACCACGAAGUCUUGGGCUUAGGAAUGGAAGAGGUCGAGGCAAUACCAAGUCAAGCAAGUUAUGCAACACGAACUUGUAAGAUAAGGCUACUUGAUAUGACGCAAUAUAAAUAAUGGUACAAGUUUCAGCAACCAAAAAAAAUAGGUGAGGAAAUGAACUAAUAGAGGAUCUGAAUGGUGGUUGGAGUGGUAUCAUCCUUGUGUAAUUUUUAGCGCACAUUUUUGUAAAGAUAAUAAUAGCACUUUAUCUUCUUGUAAUUUGUACGAGAAAACAAUCUGAAUAUUAUCAUUUUUAUUUUUAUACGGAGUAUGGGGUGGUAUG